UUCCCAUUAUUACCCUAUGGCCAGCUCUCUGAGACGGCUCUGAAGCUUCUGAGCUGCUUCGGCUGGAUUGAGGUGGAAACCCAGUCUGGAGCUCUGGAUCGGGUUGUGGCCAUCCGAAGCUGCCGGAUUGGAUUGCUGCUGAAUCACACAGGCCUACUAGACAAUUUAUCAGACUUCUAGCACGAAGGACUGCUGAAGGGCCAAGACAGCGG
RNAcentral lists this long non-coding RNA (212 nucleotides) under Crocodylus porosus (Australian saltwater crocodile). RNAcentral describes it as "lncRNA (ENSCPRG00005015230.1)". Lineage: Eukaryota; Metazoa; Chordata; Crocodylia; Crocodylidae. The record is from RNAcentral.